RNAcentral lists this transfer RNA (81 nucleotides) under Clostridium sp. AF50-3. RNAcentral describes it as "tRNA-Leu". It matches the Rfam family "tRNA". Rfam says of the family: Transfer RNA (tRNA) molecules are approximately 80 nucleotides in length. Their secondary structure includes four short double-helical elements and three loops (D, anti-codon, and T loops). Lineage: Bacteria; Bacillati; Bacillota; Clostridia; Eubacteriales; Clostridiaceae. The record is from RNAcentral.
GCUGAUGUGGCGAAAUGGCAGACGCGGCUGGCUCAAACCCAGCUGGAGCAAUCCGUACCGGUUCAAGCCCGGUCAUCAGUA